This 253-nucleotide ribosomal RNA is filed under the name uncultured bacterium. Its description in RNAcentral is "partial 16S ribosomal RNA". It matches the Rfam family "Bacterial small subunit ribosomal RNA", at positions 524 to 776 of the family's 1533-position model. The record is from RNAcentral.
UACGAGGGGUCCUAGCGUUGUUCGGAAUCAUUGGGCGUAAAGGGUGCGUAGGUUGCUAUUCAAGUCAGUUGUGAAAUCCCCGGGCUCAACCCGGGAAGUGCUUCUGAUACUGUUUAGCUUGAGUACUGGAGAGGAUAGUAGAAUUCCAGGUGUAGUGGUGAAAUACGUAGAUAUCUGGAGGAAUACCGGUGGCGAAGGCGGCCGACUGGGCCGACCCUGACGCUGAGGCGCGAAGGCGUGGGGAGCGAACGGG